UACAUUCUGGAGCUGGACAGACAAUAACGCAAAUCCGCCAAUCAAAUUGGAUACCUUCCAUUAGACAGUGCGUAAACCACAUCGUACAGAAAUGUGUAAAGUGGCGAAAAGUGACAGGAAAAGCGUUUCCACAGCAAAUUUCACCUCCGCUACCGAAAGAUAGAGUCACCGAUAUGAUUCCGUUUACGACAACUGGUGUUGAUUUCGCUGGACCACUCUUCGUUAAGGAAAAUGGACUUGAUAUGAAGAAAUCGUAUAUUUGUCUAUUCACAUGUGCGUGUAUUCGUACCGUACACCUAGAACUAGUUACGGAUAUGACAAUCGAGUCAUUAAAAUUAGCGUUUAGACGAUUCGUUAGUAGGAGAGGAAUUCCCAGUACUGUGUAUUCCGACAAUGCACCAACCUUUGUUUCCGCUUCACAUGAUAUUCCAAA
RNAcentral lists this long non-coding RNA (433 nucleotides) under Mytilus galloprovincialis (Mediterranean mussel). Lineage: Eukaryota; Metazoa; Mollusca; Bivalvia; Mytilida; Mytilidae. The record is from RNAcentral.